Musca domestica (house fly) is the source of this 2863-nucleotide long non-coding RNA. RefSeq lists it as uncharacterized. NCBI's taxonomy places the organism in Eukaryota, Metazoa, Arthropoda, Insecta, Diptera, Muscidae. The transcript is spliced from 3 exons. The record is from RefSeq and is a predicted model, not a curated record.
AAAUUGCUACAUUAUUCUGAAUGCAUUCCCAAUCAAUUUUUUUAUGUGCACACAACUAAAAUAGGGCAACGAUUGCUACAAUAAUUACCUGAAAAUGGACGUAUCGUGCUUAAGGACUGUAAAGUAACGAGUUCUGCUGAAUUUUCUUAUUAAAAUGCGCGGAUAAAUAGCAGUUACGUUUUGAAGAAAGUAUGUAAUGAUCAAACAUGCUACGACGUUACUUUGUCCUUGACCUAUGAUAAACUUCACCACAACUGAAAGCAACUUUUAACAAAACUUACAAGAGUGUGCUGCGUUUGCUAUGCCUAACCAUUAAAUUAAACCAAUUUGACUGACUCUUGCCGCCAACAUAGUAACAAAACGAACAAUACAAACACCACCUAUAUCAUUCACCCUAAAUUAACAUCCCGUUUGUUCAGAGAAGCAAUGAAAAGCCGAUAACAAUAAAUCAACUACUUCGACAUCGAUGAGUUUGUUGUCAGCACUGUAGUGUGAGGGUGUGAGUGCCAUUUGACAUUCUGAUUCAAAGCUCCUUUUUAUUCCUAUUGUCCCACCAAUCUGUGCAUACUAUUUACCGCUAAAAUACAUCUCAUACUCUGACAUAAAAAGUGAUGACUUCGAUUACCAUCACGACAUCGACAUGAAAAGGUUGCCAGCGCUGAAGUGGGAAUUACUUUGACAUUUUUCUUCAAACUUGUGCAUUUCUUUGAAUCGCGAAUGCAUGUGUGCACGAUCAUCAUCAACCGCCAAAAUGGAAGAAGCACAUAUUGUAGCAAAAAUAUGCAACAGAGGCAACUAAACAGGCAACAAUAUAGCCGACAUCAUAUCAACUAUGCGUAAAAAGAUUCCAAAGAAUGCUGAACUUGAAGCUGAAUUGCCUAUCAUUGCGUAGGAAAAAGUUGCGAUUUACUUGAACCAAUGUACGUUGUUACUUCGCGGUAUAUUUCGAAGGAGUAGGGUGUGCUACUGGCUAUGGCGUCCUAGCAAUGUCAACCUUCCGAUAACCAGAUACUUUCCAAAAAGUGUGGUAAUGUGGACAACCAGUUAUGAUAUUAGACUUGGUGAAUCUAUAACCCUUGGACUUGCGUCAUCCAGAACCUUAUUUAAAGAAUUUUCGGGACAUCCCAAAUGUUACAUCAACUGUCUAAAUAGUAAUUUAGUGUCAAACCACCCUUUGUAUUAUAGGAAGUCUUUCAGUGUAUGAAGAAAUGAUUACAGGACGCUAAUGGUAAACCAAUGCUGCUCAAAUUGAAAGACUGCCUUGUGGAUGACAUUGCUGAAAUAUAACCGACGCAUUAUAAGUAGAAUGUGAUUGGAUUGCAUUUGCCAGCAUAUACGUUACACACGAAACAUUUCAGCAUAGCAAGUUGCUCGCCAAAAAUGUUGUUCGACCGAAACUUUAACGAAAGAUGCACAGUGAAUAUGGCUCAGCCUUCCAUCUCUAUAAAGGAACGACAAGCUGAGGCGCUGUCAAUAUAACGAUAUAUGUAGGAAAACCAGAAUAUUCCGACUAACUUUUUUAUUUUAGUAAUGUAUAAUUGGAAGCUGGAUUGCGUUAUGAAAGUAUCUGUGUAUAUAUUUCAACAAACUAUAGUCAUACCAAAGGACCACAAGCGCAGAUUAAAUUAAUUUGAAAUCUUGACUUCAACUCCAUAACAUUUAUGUAUCCACAUCUAUUUUUAAUUAUGUUAUUGGGGAUAAAAGCUAUAAUAUUGCCGACAGCAUAUCAGCUCUAUAUCUGCAAAGGAAUACUUGCAAAUUAAAUCAAAUUCCUACAUUAUUCUGAAGGCGUCUCCAACCAAUUUUUUAUGUGCACACAACUAAAAUAGGGCAACGAUUGCUACAAUAAUUACCUGAAAAUGGACGUAUCGUCCUUAAGGACUGUAAAGUAACGAGUUCUGCUGAAUUUUCUUAUUAAAAUGCGCGGAUAAAUAGCAGUUACGUUUUGAAGAAAGUAUGUAAUGAUCAAACAUGCUACGACGUUACUUUGUCCUUGACCUAUGAUAAACUUCACCACAACUGAAAGCAACUUUUAACAAAACUUACAAGAGUGUGCUGCGUUUGCUAUGCCUAACCAUUAAAUUAAACCAAUUUGACUGACUCUUGCCGCCAACAUAGUAACAAAACGAACAAUACAAACACCACCUAUAUCAUUCACCCUAAAUUAACAUCCCGUUUGUUCAGAGAAGCAAUGAAAAGCCGAUAACAAUAAAUCAACUACUUCGACAUCGAUGAGUUUGUUGUCAGCACUGUAGUGUGAGGGUGUGAGUGCCAUUUGACAUUCUGAUUCAAAGCUCCUUUUUAUUCCUAUUGUCCCACCAAUCUGUGCAUACUAUUUACCGCUAAAAUACAUCUCAUACUCUGACAUAAAAAGUGAUGACUUCGAUUACCAUCACGACAUCGACAUGAAAAGGUUGCCAGCGCUGAAGUGGGAAUUACUUUGACAUUUUUCUUCAAACUUGUGCAUUUCUUUGAAUCGCGAAUGCAUGUGUGCACGAUCAUCAUCAACCGCCAAAAUGGAAGAAGCACAUAUUGUAGCAAAAAUAUGCAACAGAGGCAACUAAACAGGCAACAAUAUAGCCGACAUCAUAUCAACUAUGCGUAAAAAGAUUCCAAAGAAUGCUGAACUUGAAGCUGAAUUGCCUAUCAUUGCGUAGGAAAAAGUUGCGAUUUACUUGAACCAAUGUACGUUGUUACUUCGCGGUAUAUUUCGAAGGAGUAGGGUGUGCUACUGGCUAUGGCGUCCUAGCAAUGUCAACCUUCCGAUAACCAGAUACUUUCCAAAAAGUGUGGUAAUGUGGACAACCAGUUAUGAUAUUAGACUAAUGCUGUCGCCGACAUAAAACGUAUACAUUGGAGGAAA